Loxodonta africana (African savanna elephant) is the source of this 83-nucleotide transfer RNA. It matches the Rfam family "tRNA". From Rfam's summary of the family: Transfer RNA (tRNA) molecules are approximately 80 nucleotides in length. The record is from Rfam. NCBI's taxonomy places the organism in Eukaryota, Metazoa, Chordata, Mammalia, Proboscidea, Elephantidae.
ACCAGGAUGGCCGAGUGAUCUAAGGCACUGCGUUCAGAUUGCAGUCUCCCCUAGAGGCAUGAGUUCGAAUCCCACUCCUGACA